This is a small nuclear RNA of Jaculus jaculus (lesser Egyptian jerboa), 103 nucleotides long. The record is from Ensembl. Lineage: Eukaryota; Metazoa; Chordata; Mammalia; Rodentia; Dipodidae.
UUGCUUCGGAAGCACAUAUGCCGUAAUUGGAACAAUACAGAGGAGAUUAGCGUGGCCUCUGUGCCAGGACAACACACCAAUUCCUGAAGCAUUCCAUAUUGAA